UCCGCGGUAGCUCAAUGGUGGAGCAAGAAGCUGUUAACUUCAAGGUUGCAGGUUCGAGUCCUGCCCGCGGAGCCG
Molecule: transfer RNA, 75 nt
Filed under: Candidatus Nealsonbacteria bacterium RIFOXYB1_FULL_40_15
Lineage: Bacteria; Candidatus Nealsoniibacteriota
Also listed under: 2 other names
Description: tRNA-Asn
Rfam family: tRNA
About the family: Transfer RNA (tRNA) molecules are approximately 80 nucleotides in length. Their secondary structure includes four short double-helical elements and three loops (D, anti-codon, and T loops). Further hydrogen bonds mediate the characteristic L-shaped molecular structure. tRNAs have two regions of fundamental functional importance: the anti-codon, which is responsible for specific mRNA codon recognition, and the 3' end, to which the tRNAs corresponding amino acid is attached (by aminoacyl-tRNA synthetases). tRNAs cope with the degeneracy of the genetic code in two manners: having more than one tRNA (with a specific anti-codon) for a particular amino acid; and 'wobble' base-pairing, i.e. permitting non-standard base-pairing at the 3rd anti-codon position.
Source: RNAcentral